AGUAGCCGCGGUAAUUCCAGCUCCAAUAGCGUAUAUUAAAGUUGUUGCAGUUAAAAAACUCGUAGUUGAAUUUCGGGGUUAGCAGGUCGGUCGUGCCAAUGGUAUGCACUGGCCUUGCUGAUUCCUCCCUCUUGAUGAGCCGUAAUGCCAUUAAUUUGGUGUUGCGGGGAAUCAGGACUGUUACUUUGAAAAAAUUAGAGUGUUUAAAGCAGGCAAGCGCUUGAAUACAUUAGCAUGGAAUAAUGAAAUAGGACGUUUGAUCCUAUUUUGUUGGUUUCUAGGAUUGACGUAAUGAUUAAUAGGGAUAGUUGGGGGCAUUAGUAUUCAAUUGUCAGAGGUGAAAUUCUUGGAUUUAUUGAAGACUAACUACUGCGAAAGCAUUUGCCAAGGAUGUUUUCAUUAAUCAAGAACGAAAGUUAGGGGAUCGAAGACGAUCAGAUACCGUCGUAGUCUUAACCAUAAACUAUGCCGACUAGGGAUCGGAUGAUGUUAAUUUUUAAUGACUUAUUCGGCGCCUUAA
This 520-nucleotide ribosomal RNA is filed under the name uncultured Glomus. RNAcentral's name for it is "SSU rRNA". It matches the Rfam family "Eukaryotic small subunit ribosomal RNA", at positions 569 to 1091 of the family's 1831-position model. Lineage: Eukaryota; Fungi; Glomeromycota; Glomeromycetes; Glomerales; Glomeraceae. The record is from RNAcentral.